RNAcentral lists this long non-coding RNA (1049 nucleotides) under Gallus gallus (chicken). The record is from RNAcentral. Lineage: Eukaryota; Metazoa; Chordata; Aves; Galliformes; Phasianidae.
GCCUCCUUUGACCAAAGCCACGCCCAUUGUGGGCGUGACCAAACAACACCCCGCCCCCUCGUUUAGAGACAGCGCGGAAAAGGGGGUGUGGUUACGCCGAGCCCCGCCCCCAAGGUGGGCGUGGCUACCCCAAAUCCCGCCUCCAUCGCAGCGCGCUGUACUCGGGAGCGCCCCCUGGCGGCGCGGCGCACAGCAGCAGCGAUUUCCGAGCGGCCGUUCCGAGACGCGCGGCGCUCAGCAGCGCCCCCAGCGGUAACGGAGUGGAACUGCGCGGGCACAGCGCGACGGCGGCGGCGUGGAACAGCGGGGGGGGCCCCGGAUACACCAGGAAGUCGCCCCCGAAUUUGCCGCCGGCGUGAGGUGCAGCCCCCGCCCCCACAGGUCGCGGUACACCCGGAAACGGCGCUCCCGGUGCGCUUCCGCUUCCGGUCCCUCUGCCUCCACCUCCGGUCUGUCAGACCUCACUUCCGGUCCCUCCGUUCCAACCUCCGGCCUCUCCGUUUCCGGUCCUUUACCUUCAACUUCCGGUCUCUCGGCUUCCAGUCCCUCGGGUUUCACUUCCGGUUCUUCAGUAUCAGCUUCCUGUCCCUCAUUAUCAACUUCCGGUCCCUCCGUUUCCACUCCCUCAGCCCCCGCCGUCGUUCCGCACAGCCUCGGCCUUUUGCUUUCCACAUCCGCUCCCUCCGCUCCCACUUCCGGUCCGUCUCUAUCCUGUCCCUCCUCUCCCACUUCCGGCCCGCGGCUCCGCGGCCUUUUCGCGCCCGCUUCCGGUCUCCCCGUUUCCGGUUCCGGUUCCAGCCGCGCCGCCCCGAGCUCCGCCAGCAGCCGCCCCUCCUCCGGCAGCAGUUGCAGCGGCAGCCGCCGUCCCCCCCCGCGCCGCGACGGGGCGCCCACCAAAGCUCCCCACAUCCGGUACCGCUCCCGCAACGUCCGCACCGCUUCCGCCGCCCACACCAACACGCGGUCCCGGUGCACGUGGAGCCGGAGCGGGGGCUCCGCGUCCGUCAUUCCCGCGUCCCGAGCGGCGCUGCGGUGGGCGGAGCUUCUCG